CCUACGGGGGGCAUCAGUGAGGAAUAUUGGUCAAUGGACGCAAGUCUGAACCAGCCAUGCCGCGUGCAGGAAGACGGCUCUAUGAGUUGUAAACUGCUUUUGUACGAGGGUAAACGCAGAUACGCGUAUCUGUCUGAAAGUAUCGUACGAAUAAGGAUCGGCUAACUCCGUGCCAGCAGCCGCGGUAAUACGGAGGAUUCAAGCGUUAUCCGGAUUUAUUGGGUUUAAAGGGUGCGUAGGCGGUCUGAUAAGUUUGAGGUGAAAUCCCGAGGCUCAACUUUGGAAUUGCCUCUGAUACUGUCCGGCUAGAGAGUAGUUGAGGUAGGCGGAAUGUAUGGUGUAGCGGUGAAAUGCUUAGAGAUCAUACAGAACACCGAUUGCGAAGGCAGCUUACCAAGCUACUUCUGACGUUGAGGCACGAAAGCGUGGGGAGCAAACAGGAUUAGAUACCCUUGUAGUC
RNAcentral lists this ribosomal RNA (460 nucleotides) under uncultured bacterium. Its description in RNAcentral is "partial 16S ribosomal RNA". It matches the Rfam family "Bacterial small subunit ribosomal RNA", at positions 338 to 795 of the family's 1533-position model. The record is from RNAcentral.